Molecule: ribosomal RNA, 556 nt
Filed under: Bacillus sp. CH319b_11T
Lineage: Bacteria; Bacillati; Bacillota; Bacilli; Caryophanales; Bacillaceae
Description: bacterial SSU rRNA
Rfam family: Bacterial small subunit ribosomal RNA
Source: RNAcentral
CAGUCGAGCGAUGGAUAAGAGCUUUGCUCUUAUGAAGUUAGCGGCGGACGGGUGAGUAACACGUGGGUAACCUGCCCAUAAGACUGGGAUAACUCCGGGAAACCGGGGCUAAUACCGGAUAACAUUUUGAACCGCAUGGUUCGAAAUUGAAAGGCGGCUUCGGCUGUCACUUAUGGAUGGACCCGCGUCGCAUUAGCUAGUUGGUGAGGUAACGGCUCACCAAGGCAACGAUGCGUAGCCGACCUGAGAGGGUGAUCGGCCACACUGGGACUGAGACACGGCCCAGACUCCUACGGGAGGCAGCAGUAGGGAAUCUUCCGCAAUGGACGAAAGUCUGACGGAGCAACGCCGCGUGAGUGAUGAAGGCUUUCGGGUCGUAAAACUCUGUUGUUAGGGAAGAACAAGUGCUAGUUGAAUAAGCUGGCACCUUGACGGUACCUAACCAGAAAGCCACGGCUAACUACGUGCCAGCAGCCGCGGUAAUACGUAGGUGGCAAGCGUUAUCCGGAAUUAUUGGGCGUAAAGCGCGCGCAGGUGGUUUCUUAAGUCUGAUGUG